RNAcentral lists this ribosomal RNA (464 nucleotides) under Vreelandella stevensii. RNAcentral describes it as "partial 16S ribosomal RNA". It matches the Rfam family "Bacterial small subunit ribosomal RNA", at positions 338 to 795 of the family's 1533-position model. The record is from RNAcentral. Lineage: Bacteria; Pseudomonadati; Pseudomonadota; Gammaproteobacteria; Oceanospirillales; Halomonadaceae.
CCUACGGGAGGCAGCAGUGGGGAAUAUUGGACAAUGGGCGAAAGCCUGAUCCAGCCAUGCCGCGUGUGUGAAGAAGGCCUUCGGGUUGUAAAGCACUUUCAGUGGGGAAGAAAGCCUUGGGGCUAAUACCCUCGAGGAAGGACAUCACCCACAGAAGAAGCACCGGCUAACUCCGUGCCAGCAGCCGCGGUAAUACGGAGGGUGCGAGCGUUAAUCGGAAUUACUGGGCGUAAAGCGCGCGUAGGCGGUCUGAUAAGCCGGUUGUGAAAGCCCCGGGCUCAACCUGGGAACGGCAUCCGGAACUGUCAGGCUAGAGUGCAGGAGAGGAAGGUAGAAUUCCCGGUGUAGCGGUGAAAUGCGUAGAGAUCGGGAGGAAUACCAGUGGCGAAGGCGGCCUUCUGGACUGACACUGACGCUGAGGUGCGAAAGCGUGGGUAGCAAACGGGAUUAGAUACCCCAGAGUC